UGCGUAGGCGGAUAAAUAAGUCAGUGGUGAAAUCUUCCGGCUCAACCGGGAACCUGCCAUUGAUACUGUUAGUCUUGAGUUCGGCUGAGGUAGGCGGAAUGUGUAAUGUAGCGGUGAAAUGCUUAGAUAUUACACAGAACACCAAUUGCGUAGGCAGCUUACUAGACCGACACUGACGCUGAGGCACGAAAGCGUGGGGAGCGAACAGGAUUAGAUACCCUGGUAGUCC
This 229-nucleotide ribosomal RNA is filed under the name uncultured bacterium. RNAcentral's name for it is "partial 16S ribosomal RNA". It matches the Rfam family "Bacterial small subunit ribosomal RNA", at positions 568 to 796 of the family's 1533-position model. The record is from RNAcentral.